UAACACGUAGGUGACCUACCCCAAAGAGGGGGAUAACGGCCCGAAAGGGCUGCUAAUACCCCAUGUGAUUAGCGAUUCAUUUUGCUAAUGAAAGCUUCCGCAAGGAGUGUGCUUUGGGAGGGGCCUGCGGCGGAUUAGAUUGUUGGUGGGGUAAUGGCCUACCAAGUCGAUGAUCCGUAGCUAGUCUGAGAGGACGAUUAGCCACACUGGCACUGACACACGGGCCAG
RNAcentral lists this ribosomal RNA (228 nucleotides) under uncultured bacterium. RNAcentral describes it as "partial 16S ribosomal RNA". It matches the Rfam family "Bacterial small subunit ribosomal RNA", at positions 111 to 334 of the family's 1533-position model. The record is from RNAcentral.